This is a non-coding RNA of Homo sapiens (human), 157 nucleotides long. It matches the Rfam family "Metazoan signal recognition particle RNA", at positions 96 to 252 of the family's 299-position model. From Rfam's summary of the family: The signal recognition particle (SRP) is a universally conserved ribonucleoprotein. It is involved in the co-translational targeting of proteins to membranes. Lineage: Eukaryota; Metazoa; Chordata; Mammalia; Primates; Hominidae. The record is from Rfam.
UGCCGACUGGGUGUCUGCACUAAGUUUGGAAUCAUUAUGGUGACCUCCCAGGAGUGGGGAACCACUGGGUUGUCUAAGGUGGGGUGAACAUGCCCAGGUCAGAAAUGGAGCAGGUCAAAACUCCCAUGCUAAUCAAUAAUGGGAUUGUGCCUAUGAA